This 70-nucleotide transfer RNA is filed under the name Laudakia stellio stellio. RNAcentral's name for it is "Stellagama stellio stellio tRNA-Asn". It matches the Rfam family "tRNA". Rfam says of the family: Transfer RNA (tRNA) molecules are approximately 80 nucleotides in length. The record is from RNAcentral. Lineage: Eukaryota; Metazoa; Chordata; Lepidosauria; Squamata; Agamidae. RNAcentral also lists the same sequence under 1 other name.
AAACGGAUGCCUGUUGGUUAAGGUAAAUAGCUGUUAACUAUUUUUUGUGGGGUCGAAGCCCACCUGUUUA